UUAAGGUAUCCGACCCAUAAUUAGAAAAUAAACAACAUGCAAGAUAGUUCACAUUUUUAUCAAGGAAUGUAAGAAGGGGGGUCUAAGAGUUCUUACUAUAAAAAAAAAUCCGCAAAAUAUUUGUGGUUAACAACAGAUCUGGGUUACAGUGCCCCCCCUUUUUUGUCCUCAAAUGCCAAAUUAGGGGUAUAAAAAGUAUGUAACUUUAAAAAACCUAUGUAGUAUAAUUUACUAAUCUAUCUUUCAAAAGGAACC
This 255-nucleotide long non-coding RNA is filed under the name Mytilus galloprovincialis (Mediterranean mussel). The record is from RNAcentral. Lineage: Eukaryota; Metazoa; Mollusca; Bivalvia; Mytilida; Mytilidae.